This is a long non-coding RNA of Grammomys surdaster, 1021 nucleotides long. RefSeq lists it as uncharacterized. The record is from RefSeq and is a predicted model, not a curated record. The transcript is spliced from 2 exons. NCBI's taxonomy places the organism in Eukaryota, Metazoa, Chordata, Mammalia, Rodentia, Muridae.
UGACAUUUGCAUACAAGCAUGCAUUAGUAAAUAAGAUGUAUGGGAGAGGCCUUAAGUUUGCAACCAAACUCGUAGAAGAAAAACCAACAAAAGAAAACUGGAAAAAUUGUAUUCAACUGAUGAAAUUACUUGGAUGGACUCAUUGUGCAUCUUUUACUGAAAACUGGCUCCCCAUCAUGUAUCCUCCUGAUUAUUGUGUAUUCUAAAAUAAGAACCAAAACUUUAAAUUUCAAAACAGAAAAUUUUAUAGUGAACGGAUAUAUGAACAAAUGUGUUGGAUUUUUAGUCUAACUAAUGCAUGUUUUCAUCCACUAUCCAAUACUGAUCAUUAAAACUAUAUGUAUUUAUCAGAGAACUCAAUGGCGUGUGGCUUAAUACAUGUAAUAUAGACCUCUGACAUCAUGCUGCUUUCCUACUGCCUCCUACACUUGGAAAGGGGAGGGCAUAUCCUGCCUGCCAGCCCCAACACUGAGUUGGAUGCAGCUGCUUACUGCAUGAGAGGUUUUCAUCUUUUUAUUUUAACUGUAAAAUGUCAUCCUGGUUUUUAUUUUAUAAAUCAAUCAAAAAGGUCAAAAUAUGCUAAAUUUUUCAAAUUAUAUAGAGGCCUUAAAAUGCUACAUUAGGUGUAGCUAAAUUAUUUAUCUGACUAAAAAUUAUGAGAACAUAAUUUCCAGACUUUUUUCUAAAAAUAAAUUUAGUUAAUGGAAAUGGUGGGGGGCAUAAACACAUGGCAACUAGGGAAAGAAACAUGUUAACUCUUCACUAAGGAGUCAUAACAAACAAGUUGUUUUUACGGCAUCCUCAACUGCACAGCAUCAGAAUGAGUUAAAGUUUCUUGUGUUGGUGCCAGGCAGCUGAAUCUAUCUGGUUUUGUAAAGGUAUACACAGUAUGUUUAUAACAUUGAAAUCAUGUAAAAUACAUGAAUAAAUGUGCAAAACCACAGGCACAGUACACCAUAUGCACUCUGAUACCUUUUAUAUAUACAUAUAUAUAUAUAAAUAAAAGAAAAUAUUGAAGCUA